AAUCGUCCAUUCUAUAGAAUAAGGUACAUUUUAAGAUAGUCAAUGAGAGUCACAGCGAGCAGAUGGGUGGAAAAAGUUAAAACCCAAUUCUGUUCCAACCAUAUUUAAUAUGCCCAACCCACCAAAAAUGUUGUCUACGCCCACACGACAAUCUCACUACAAGGUUAUGAAACUAGUGGAAUUGUUGGAUCUUCAAAUAUUAGUGGAACCUGUGAAACUGGCAAAUGUGAUGUAGAGGAUGGAGUUGCACAUAUUCAUGAGGUUAGUAAUCGAAUUCCUAUCAUUUGACUGAAAUUAUUGUCUGAAACACAACUUUUUCUUUAAUAGCUGCGCAGCUACAGGAACAAGGUGGCACCUAUUCUAUAGAAUAAUACCGUACAAUUGAGCUUUAUGUGACACAAUAAUUUAUAUCAUUCUGAUACUCCGAGACUGCAAUAGUAUAAAUAUAAUUAUAUUUAUACUCUGUCCAAACAGGCAUGAGCCGCUCAUGCUUGCUACAAUUUUAUUAGUACGAAUUCAGUUGAUUCUGAACUUGUUGACUGUUUGUUUCGGAAGUAAUUGACUGUAUCCAUGCAGAUCUCUUGCCUAUUCUAGAAUCUUGGGCAUAGUCUAUCGCUUACUUUUUGUCUUACUUGUCUAAAAGUAAGAAGACUGCCAGGGAACAUGAUACGCUGGCAAUGAAGCCAAAUACAGCACUGUAAUAAAACAAAAUACCGUAUGCAAUCUUCUCUAAGAAAAUAUUGUGUUUUAGUGAGUUCCUAACAGUGUUAAAUUGUCAAAAAAUAGUUGAAUUUUAAAAAUAGCUCCAAGUUUUCAAAAAAUGGCAUAUGGUACAACCAAGUUGCUAACGAUGCAAAGUAUCUGGGUAUGACCUUGUACGUGAAGCUUCGCUGAAGGCUCAUGCCGAGAAGAGAGAUCUUGAAAAGAAGCUUUAUUGGCUGAGCGGAAGAUACUCCAACUUUCCAAUCCGAAACAAAGUACUCAGAUAUUGAAGCCAGUAUGGAUGUAUGGUUUACAAAUUUGGGGGUGUACCAAAGACAGCAACAUCAAUGUCAUACAGCGAUUCCAAAACAAGGUGCUGAGGAACAAUGUGGAUUCUCCUUAGUAUGCCAGGAACAGCGAUUUUCGUGGGGACCUGCCUGUUGACCUGAUGUCUAGAGGGUGCGGAGAGGCAAGAGAGGCGAUCCAGCUGCUAGGAAUCCAAAAGGAGGAAACCGUUGGAACUAGUGUAGUGCUUGUUCAAAUAGUGUCCAGUGAAAGAGCAGAGCAGUGAUUGCGUGAAAUCUAACUUUUAGUGCAGUCAAUAGGUGUACUUAUUAAUUCAACAAAAACAGUAAGAGCUUCUAAUGAGAAAUUCGCGGUUUCAUUUAUCAAGUAGUAUGUUAGGAUAGAAAAAAAUUGCUCAUUAGUAUUUAUACUAAAAAGCUGUAGUAUUGAAAAGAUUGAAUAUAUAAAAUAGCUAUAGAAUAUAAAUAUAGAAAGCUAUACACCGUGAUUCAAAAAGAAUACCACAACUUUGAAAAUUGAUCUCUGCAAAGAAUAAACGGAGAGUGGAGCACUAUCCGUCAUCGAUUCGAGGAAGCUCUAAAGUUUUUUUAGUUGCAUAUUCCAGCAGGAUGGAGCACUACUCCAUUGACACUCACUCAUCUGUCCGUGCCUAUUUGAAUGAAAACUAUCUGAAGCAAUGGAUCGCCGCCAAGCAGCUCGAGACAGAGCACUUCAUCACUGGCCUCCAAUAAGCCCUCACCUCACCCCUGCGAUUUUUUUCUAUGGGGGUACGUUAAAGAUGAAGUGUAUCGACCUCCUCUACCAGCUAACAUUGAGGAGCUCAAACAAGAAAUAACAGCAGCUAUACAAACUGUUACGCCCGAUAUGCUACUGUGGGUGUGCAACGAGUUAGAGUAUCGUAUUGAUAUCACUUGAGUGUCUGGAGGGGGUCACAUUAAACAUUUGUGAACUUGUUUUCUAGUGAGGAAAAUUUAUUUUAAUACUCUUAAUUUUGAUUUACAACCCAAGUUUCUAUUAUGUUUCCUUGAUUAAAUACAGAUUUUCAAAGUUGUGGUAUUCUUUUUGAAUCACGCUGUAUUAUAGAAGUUACUGCCGAGAUCCACAUGCCACCUUUAGGGCCGAGACACAUGAGGCGUUUUUCAGACGAGUCGGCAUGGCUCGAAUAUAAAUAUAGAAAGCUAUAUUAUAGAAGUAACUGCCGAAAUCCACAUGCCACCUUUAGGGCCGGACACAUGAGGCGUUUUCCAGACGAGUCGGCAUGGCUUGACAGGACAGGAAGCUCUCCGAUUGGCUAAUUGAUUUGAGGUAUCAAGAAUCAGCCAAUCGGAGAGCUUCCUCUUCUGUCGUGCCGUGCCGACUCUUCUGAGAUACGCCUUGUGUGUCUUGGUCCUUAGGCUAGUGUGUGGUCAAUCUUAGGGAUGUUGAGAGAUGAAUGAGCCUACAUUUUUGAUAGUUUACAAAUCACCGAGUUGUUGGUGGAUUAAUAAUAUUCACGAUAUUUGGUGGAUAAUAUAAUCACAAUAUUCGCAAGGAAUACUUGAAUGAAAACAUUUUUGAAGCGGUCACCCAUCCAAAAGCAGUACCGAAUGCUUGCAGCAGCUCUUAUAAAGCACUUGAUCCCUCUCAUUUUUGCAAUCCUAGAGUUUUCACUCUUUGGAAUCUGUUUGCCAGUUGUAUGUAUUUUUCUAUCAACAGAAAAUAGACAUCUCUAUCUAGUUCAGUUAAACCUGAGCUUGCUAUGCUAUACACAUCUUCAAAGUUGCCACUAUUGAAUUUAAUUUUUACUUGUAAAAGAAUUAAAAAUGUAAAUGUGUUACAUUCACAUACAUCUUCAAUGCUUACUUUUUGUAUUUAAUAGAUAAAUUAUAGAAACAGUCACUGGGUGACAUGCAUCUUUCAUGCUUCUCUAUUAGACUUUUGAUUGUUAAUCUUGUAAAGGUAGUCAUUUUGUAUUGAUUUACCUACCAAUUUUACUUGUAAGAGAUGCUUCUUAUUAACUUAUUAUUGUAUUAGAUGAUUGAAUUGUUUCAUGCAAGAAGUGUAUCAGACCAUCUAAUAGUUGCAAUCUUAUGUUUAAACACUAUUUUGAUAAUAAUGUUCUUCUAAUUUCAUAUAAAUAUGCAUUUAUGGCAUAUAAAUUAUCUACUGAAAUUAUUCCUUCAGUGCUUUUUGGUCACUUGAGCUAUUCAAAAUUUAAAGUUUACACAUAGAAAUCACAGAAUGUUGAUAAUUGGAUAAAAAUGGUCUAAUGCCCCUUUUGCAUGGAGCAAUUCAACUACAUAGCAUCUUUAAGCUAUUGUCAAAUCCAAUGGAAAAAUAAAAGAAAGAUUUACAAAAAAAGUUGAAAAAGAUUUACUAGAAAAAAUUACAAAUAACAAAAAAA
Molecule: long non-coding RNA, 3391 nt
Filed under: Nilaparvata lugens (brown planthopper)
Lineage: Eukaryota; Metazoa; Arthropoda; Insecta; Hemiptera; Delphacidae
Description: uncharacterized LOC120348754, transcript variant X2
Source: RNAcentral